GUUAUAAUAAAAUCGUCGUUCACACAUGGACUUCAUUUUGCUACCACAGGCGGCCUUCUUCUGCUUCCCGGGACAGGGAAGGCUAGCUUUCCUCUAACCUAGAGUGUGGGCUCUCUCUCGAAUCAUUGGGUUGGCUGUAAAUAGCUUUUGUUGGGCAAGCAGCCAGUGCGUUAAGAAAGAGGUUAUAUUGUAGCUGCUUUGGUUCUAUGGGCAGGUGGCUUCAAUU
RNAcentral lists this unclassified non-coding RNA (226 nucleotides) under Hevea brasiliensis (rubber tree). The record is from RNAcentral. Lineage: Eukaryota; Viridiplantae; Streptophyta; Magnoliopsida; Malpighiales; Euphorbiaceae.